AGUUACUGUAUUAAUCUUUACAGUUAUAGUUAGUAAGUAAAGAAAUAAGACGAUUCCUGGAUUUAUACUUUGGAUCAUAAGAUGUCCGAUUAAUGAGAAUCUAACAAAAGAUAUUAAACGGAAGAAGCCGCAACAUAAGUGAUUAUUAAGGGAGAAUGAAUCGCUCAAUAAUCAUCAUACUUGUUAUGAUAGCUACUGUCAAUACACAGUCGACACAAGGUACAUAUUUUGUUUCACAAACAUUUCAAGUAUAGUAGGGUAGAGGAAAAUGGGACACAUUUUCAUUUUAUUUAUCGUCACAUUUUGUAGUAAACAAAAAGCAUUCAAAGAUUUAUAAAACCGUAUCCUCACGACUCCCAUAAAACGUUAUUAAUGGUUUGAAACCUAAUCAGGAUAUUUGUAUAUUUUGUGUUAAAGGUGUUCCGUCUUCCACCAAAGUAUUCCACAUAAAUGUAGCAACGCUUAAAGAGUAUUUUAAAGUAAAUAUCCGUUCCACAGUUUCUUAACCUUUCAUGGUUUACGGCUCCUUUAGUAGAAACUUAACACCCGUGGCCUCCCCUGCUCCAUCAAUAAAAUAACUGAUAUUUGUUUUAAUAUUUACAUCUGUUAUUUUAUUCACCACUUUGUAGCAGUCUAAACAAACAAGGCCAUGUCUUUCCAUUGCAUCGCAUAAUCGUUAAUGGCUUUCUAUACACAAGUUGGCAACCAGUAUUAAAACUUGGUAUGACAAAAACGCACUGGUGCGUUGCUAAUUAUAAGUGGGUCUAAACCAUAUAUAUCGAAAAGCAUACGCUGCAAUGAAGGAACUAAUAUUCCAAAUAUAUUUUUAAAUGGGGAAUUCUAAAAUACUGCAAUCUUAAACUAAAAAUAAUUGUUAAACUAUUUAAGUUGGAUUGAAAAGAAAAGCAUUAACAUGCAGCCGUAAAAGACCACACCAAAACCAACAAUUAUUUUACACUCAUUUAAACAUGUAGCUUGUUAUUGAAAUAGAAACAACGACACAAGUAACAACUGAUGCGUCGACAACUGCAGCAGAAACAACAACAGAAGUAACAACUGAUGCGUCGACAACUGCAGCAGAAACAACGACACAAGUAACAACCGAUGCGUCGACAACUGCAGCAGAAACAACGACACAAGUAACAACCGAUGCGUCGACAACUGCAGCAGAAACAACAACAGAAGUAACAACCGAUGCGUCGACAACUACAGCAGAAACAACAACAGAAGUAACAACUGAUGCGUCGACAACUGCAGCAGAAACAACAACAGAAGUAACAACUGAUGCGUCGACAACUGCAGCAGAAACAACGACAGAAGUUACAACUGAUGCGUCGACAACUGCAGCAGAAACAACAACAGAAGUAACAACUGAUGCGUCGACAACUGCAGCAGAAACAACAACAGAAGUUACAACUGAUGAGUCGACAACUGCAGCAGAAACAACGACAGAAGUAACAACUGAUGAGUCGACAACUGCAGCAGAAAAAACGACAGAAGUAACAACUGAUGAGUCGACAACUACAGCAGA
Molecule: non-coding RNA, 1531 nt
Organism: Ciona intestinalis (vase tunicate)
Lineage: Eukaryota; Metazoa; Chordata; Ascidiacea; Phlebobranchia; Cionidae
Source: RefSeq, a predicted model, not a curated record